This is a long non-coding RNA of Gambusia affinis (western mosquitofish), 204 nucleotides long. RefSeq lists it as uncharacterized. The transcript has 3 exons. The record is from RefSeq and is a predicted model, not a curated record. NCBI's taxonomy places the organism in Eukaryota, Metazoa, Chordata, Actinopteri, Cyprinodontiformes, Poeciliidae.
UACCGUCUACCAACAGCUGAUCGUGAACGAACUCAGCGGACAUUGGAGACAUUUUGAACUGAACAUCACAUCUCGUGAGGGAUACCAGAUUGUGUUUGAAGGCAUCAAAGGCACAUCUGGUUUUGUAGCUCUGGAUGACAUCGAGUACACCGUUGGAUUCGACUGCACCACUAGAGUCACAAAACCAACCUCGAAGCCGGACAA